Molecule: ribosomal RNA, 407 nt
Filed under: uncultured bacterium
Lineage: Bacteria
Description: partial 16S ribosomal RNA
Rfam family: Bacterial small subunit ribosomal RNA
Source: RNAcentral
AUUGAACGCUGGCGGCAGGCCUAACACAUGCAAGUCGAGCGGAGCGGCGGACGGGUGAGUAAUGCCUAGGAAUCUGCCUGGUAGUGGGGGAUAACGUCCGGAAACGGGCGCUAAUACCGCAUACUAUCAGAUGAGCCUAGGUCGGAUUAGCUAGUUGGUGGGGUAAAGGCCUACCAAGGCGACGAUCCGUAACUGGUCUGGGAGGAUGAUCAGUCACACUGGAAAUGGGAAACGGUCCAGACUCCUACGGGAGGCAGCAGUGGGGAAUAUUAGACAAUGGGCGAAAGCCUGAUCCAGCCAUGCCGCGUGUGUGAAGAAGGUCUUCGGAGUGUAAAGCACUUUAAGUAGGGAAGCGUUACCGACAGAAUAAGCACCGGCUAACUUCGUGCCAGAAGCCGCGGUAAUAC